This 403-nucleotide unclassified non-coding RNA is filed under the name soil metagenome. RNAcentral's name for it is "partial contains 5.8S ribosomal RNA, internal transcribed spacer 2, and large subunit ribosomal RNA". The stretch from base 1 to 120 matches the Rfam family "5.8S ribosomal RNA", at positions 35 to 154 of the family's 154-position model. The record is from RNAcentral.
GAUGAAGAACGCAGCGAAAUGCGAUAAGUAAUGUGAAUUGCAGAAUUCAGUGAAUCAUCGAAUCUUUGAACGCACCUUGCGCCCUUUGGACUUCUGAAGGGCAUGUCUGUUUGAGUAUCAUGAACACCUCAACUCCUUAUGGUCUUCCAUGAUGAGCUUGGACUUUGGGGGUUUUGCUGGCCUACAGUCAGCUCCUCUAAAAUAAAUCAGCUUACCGGUGUUUGGUGGGUAUCAUGGGUGUGAUAACUAUCUACGCUCGUGGUUUUCCACCAGGUAACCUUCAGCAGUGGAGGUUCACUGGAGCUCAUAGAUGUCUCUCCUCAGCGAGGACAGCCCUUUGAAUGUUUGAUCUCAAAUCAGGUAGGACUACCCGCUGAACUUAAGCAUAUCAAUAAGCGGAGGA